CAUUAGUAUAUAUUAAAGUUGUUGCAGUUAAAACGCCCGUAGUCGAACUUUGGGCCCGGGCGCUCGGUCUUGCCGAGAGGCUUGUACUGUUUGCCUGGGUCUUUCCUUCUGCGAAACUAGUGUGCUCUUCAUUGAGUGCGCUAGGGAAGCAGGACUUUUACUGUGAAAAAAUUAGAGUGUUUAAAGCAGGCGUUUGCUUGAAUACAUUAGCAUGGAAUAAUAAAAUAGGACUUUGGUUCUAUUUUGUUGGUUUCUUGAACCAAAGUAAUGAUUAAUAGGGAUAGUUGGGGACGUUAGUAUUUAAUUGUCAGAGGUGAAAUUCUUGGAUUUAUGAAAGACUAGCUUCUGCGAAAGCAUUCGUCAAGGAUGUUUUCAUUGA
This 379-nucleotide ribosomal RNA is filed under the name uncultured eukaryote. RNAcentral's name for it is "partial 18S ribosomal RNA". It matches the Rfam family "Eukaryotic small subunit ribosomal RNA", at positions 592 to 976 of the family's 1831-position model. The record is from RNAcentral.